GCCGAAGUGGCGGAAUUGGUAGACGCGCUGGACUCAAAAUCCAGUGAGAGGUGACUCUCGUGUCGGUUCGAGCCCGACCUUCGGUA
RNAcentral lists this transfer RNA (86 nucleotides) under Deltaproteobacteria bacterium. Its description in RNAcentral is "tRNA-Leu". It matches the Rfam family "tRNA". From Rfam's summary of the family: Transfer RNA (tRNA) molecules are approximately 80 nucleotides in length. Their secondary structure includes four short double-helical elements and three loops (D, anti-codon, and T loops). Lineage: Bacteria; Pseudomonadati; Myxococcota; Myxococcia. The record is from RNAcentral. RNAcentral also lists the same sequence under 2 other names.